AACGAACGCUGGCGGCAUGCCUAACACAUGCAAGUCGAACGAGACCUUCGGGUCUAGUGGCGCACGGGUGCGUAACGCGUGGGAACCUGCCUUUAGGUUCGGAAUAACUCAGAGAAAUUUGAGCUAAUACCGGAUGAUGUCUUCGGACCAAAGAUUUAUCGCCUUUAGAUGGGCCCGCGUUGGAUUAGCUAGUUGGUGGGGUAAAGGCCUACCAAGGCGACGAUCCAUAGCUGGUCUGAGAGGAUGAUCAGCCACACUGGGGCUGAGACACGGCCCAGACUCCUACGGGAGGCAGCAGUGGGGAAUAUUGGACAAUGGGCGAAAGCCUGAUCCAGCAAUGCCGCGUGAGUGAUGAAGGCCUUAGGGUUGUAAAGCUCUUUUACCCGAGAUGAUAAUGACAGUAUCGGGAGAAUAAGCUCCGGCUAACUCCGUG
This 433-nucleotide ribosomal RNA is filed under the name uncultured bacterium. RNAcentral's name for it is "partial 16S ribosomal RNA". It matches the Rfam family "Bacterial small subunit ribosomal RNA", at positions 29 to 507 of the family's 1533-position model. The record is from RNAcentral.